CGGUGAGGAGAAUGGACGCCUCUGGGGACAAGGGAGGAGGCCUGGGGAAGGGACCAGCUCCUGAGGGAUUCCACCACGGGCGUCCUGUGCUGCCCCUAGGAGAGAAGCAGGCCUGCGGCAUCCUUUCCCCUCCCCUGCCUGCCGGGUGGGAGGACGCAGAUGGGAAGUUCCAAGUCCCUGCAGCCUUGAGCCAGGCCUGCCUUCCUGCCGCAGUUCUUCCCGGUGCCAAGAUGGGGUUAUUCUGACUUCCUUCACAGAAACAAAGGCAGGUGGGAGGCUGUAUGUUGACGAAGCAACGCAGUGGAAUGGGACAAGCGCUGGCCUGGGAGGCGGGGCACCGCUCACAGGUUCCUCAUUCCCUCACAGAGGUUGGGACAAGAUGGCCUCUGACCCCCUCCAGCCCUGAGAUGCUCGGGAAGAGACGGCAGUCCAAAGAUUGCUGAGGAUCUUGAAGUCCUAAAAUGCGGCUUCUAAUGUUUGCUCGUCUGCCUGAGCUCCAGCCCACUCUGUUCUGCCUCUUGGCUUCUCAGUUUUUAGCACAUCUGCCCUCCGUCCCAGCGCUUGCACAUACUUGGUGAAAGAUUCUCUCUCUCAUCGAAUCUCAAGGGUACAUCUGGCCUUCCCAGUUGGAUGACAAGUUCAAGGGUAGAUCAUGCCCUUGGUCCCGCUGCAGCAGCUUCCACAAGGCUGAAAUGAGAAGACUGAAGCUCAGAGAGUUUACAUGACUUCCUCCAUGUCUCACUGCAAGUGAAGAAACAGGCUGCAGAUGAAGAGCUGAAACCACAAUCUUAGAGGGGCUGGUUGUCUCCCCAGCUGCACUGUGGCGUUCUCAAGGUAGACAUCUCAGGGGCAACACAGCGACAUGGAAAAGAGCUUACUGGGACCAGGCUGCCUGCGUUCAGCCGCGAGGUUAUUACCUGUGGUGACCUGGGGUAAGUCAGUCAGCCCUUCAGUGCCUCAGUUUCCCUAUCUGGAAAAUGGCAAUAACCACAGUUGUUGUGAAGAUUGACUACGACGAUCCACAUGAAGGCCUCAGUACGGUGUGUGACACACAGCAGUGUUCGUGAAAGAGUAGCUAGUAUUAACAGCCACAUCUCCUGGUUCUCUUGUGAACCCCCGUGGGUCCAGCAUUGGCACACAGCACACAGGAAGGUUCAGUGUUUGCUGCUUCACUAGGAGCCUUUCAGGAAGUGUGGUCAUAAGAAGUGAGAGGUGAUUUACAAGUGGCACAGCAUCUGUCACAAGGGCUUUAUUUGCACAAUAAAUGCUACCAGACAUGUAAGAUAUGCUUAUGAGCAUGUCUUUUGUAAUCAGCACCCUCUAGAAAGUUCCCCUCCCCUAAUGCUCCUGGCCUUGGCUGUGGCCACACCCACUGCCCAAGUGAGCAGUGUCAGCUGUCGGCUGUCCUCUUUCUUCCGGAUUAGGCUCCUCUACAGGGAUCUUCCCAUGGUUAUACAUUUGGAGAAUUGGAGAAUGCUUCACAAACACUUCCAAAUGUCUCAUAGCAAUGAGAGGCCAGUGCAAAGGGUAGAGGGAGCUCUCCUCUGCCACAGAAAUCAGAGCUGG
RNAcentral lists this long non-coding RNA (1566 nucleotides) under Equus asinus (donkey). RNAcentral describes it as "lncRNA (ENSEASG00005026050.1)". The record is from RNAcentral. Lineage: Eukaryota; Metazoa; Chordata; Mammalia; Perissodactyla; Equidae.